UGUGAAGCACUGAACCAGUAAGGCAAAUGAACACAUGCCUUGGUGUCACCAUUUCAUUGUGUUCCCAUGAGCCUUUGCAAGAACACUGAGAUAAUCACGCAGCUGUUGGCAAACAUUUUUUACAUGAGUUUUCUUAAAGAGGAUUAUGCUUAGAGACCAGUAGAAUUUGGAGGAGAAGGGGUCUAUAUGCAGCGAAGUAAAGUACAGAUACGUGAAAUUUCUACUUAAGUACAGUAUGAUAACACAGCUGCAUAGUUAUUUGAGAAUUCGAAAAAACAUCAUUAUUCUUCCAACCGUCCAGUCCACCAGCUGUCAGCAUGCAAUGGAAAUCAGGCGAUUUCGUAAGGUGUGAUCCCCAAAACGGACGGUGGAAUCUGCCUGCCUUCAUGGAAGUAUCACAAGCUUUUUCUAGCUAUCUGUUCAAAAAAUAAACUGCAAAAUAAAUAAAUGUCGAACUG
Long non-coding RNA from Alosa sapidissima (American shad), 458 nucleotides. RefSeq lists it as uncharacterized. NCBI's taxonomy places the organism in Eukaryota, Metazoa, Chordata, Actinopteri, Clupeiformes, Clupeidae. The transcript is spliced from 2 exons. The record is from RefSeq and is a predicted model, not a curated record.